CUACAGAUGGUUAACUGCUUAGCAUGGUGUGGAAUUUUACAUGUCCACCCUCUCAGUGCUAGCUCAUCUCCAAGAAGGCUAGGACACUUCCCUGGGGCUGAAUGUACUGAUAAUACUCCCCUACUGUCUCUUUAAAGCAAACAAAAAUCCUCACAGCAGGGGAAUUCUUUGUUCCAUCAACCUAGGCCAAGUUCUAACAACUGUCCUAGUUUCAGUCUAGAGCCUCUAAUUACUAUGAUUUCUCCUGUGGUGGCCUGAAGAGCAAAGGUAUUUUGCGUUCAGCGAGAUUCCAAGGGGUGCGUGAGUCUUGCAGAAGCAUUUCUAGUAUGGACUAAAAAAGCCUAUGCUUCGCAGUUGCCGUAGAAACCUGACGUCAUAGGGCGACCGUGACGAAUUUUUAAUAAGCCCUGAUUUGGAGAGCAGGUCUCGACCUCAGAAGUUUGGGACUCAGCUGAGAGUGUGGGGUCCCGCUGAGGGGGCUGAACCGCCUUGGAGUGUGAGGAGACAGAAGAAUCCAGAUCCAGCUUUUCCCGCUUUGGGGCUCGGUGCCCCGGCUGUCUUGUAUGUAAAGCCAUUGUGGUCCCUCCCAGCUCCAGUGAGUGUAAGUGUUCCUGCUGGGGUGUCCUGGAGCUGCUUUCCUCUAAAGACAAGGAUGCGGGAGGUUAGGACAGAUGCUGAAUUUCUGGGACUCAGGAUGAAAAUUGGACUAAACUUGUUUGAAAUGGAGUCCAUUUGAGGUCAAGCCUCAACACCUCAUAGGGGAGUAUUGUGAGGAAUUCAAGAAGAAAAGCUCUUCAAGAUUCCAGUGCAGUAUUUGGUACAUCAUGCAUAAUGCCAAUGUUUGCAGCCUUCCCAUUCCAGCUCUUCUGAUCUUUAACAGGGAAGUUGUUUCUUAGUUUCAAUAAAAUUACUAUAUUUUAGUGAGCA
Molecule: long non-coding RNA, 927 nt
Filed under: Felis catus (domestic cat)
Lineage: Eukaryota; Metazoa; Chordata; Mammalia; Carnivora; Felidae
Description: lncRNA (ENSFCAG00000052162.1)
Source: RNAcentral